RNAcentral lists this ribosomal RNA (481 nucleotides) under uncultured Methanosaeta sp. RNAcentral describes it as "bacterial SSU rRNA". It matches the Rfam family "Archaeal small subunit ribosomal RNA", at positions 855 to 1338 of the family's 1478-position model. Lineage: Archaea; Methanobacteriati; Methanobacteriota; Methanomicrobia; Methanotrichales; Methanotrichaceae. The record is from RNAcentral.
CUUAAAGGAAUUGACGGGGAGCACCACAACGGUGGAGCUUGCGGUUUAAUUGGAUUCAACGCCGGAAAUCUUACCGGGACCGACAGCAAUAUGAAGGCCAGGCUGAAGACUUUGCCGGAUUAGCUGAGAGGUGGUGCAUGGCCGUCGUCAGUUCGUACUGUGAAGCAUCCUGUUAAGUCAGGCAACGAGCGAGACCCACGCCCACAGUUGCCAGCGUACUCUCUGGAGUGACGGGUACACUGUGGGACCGCCGCUGCUAAAGCGGAGGAAGGAAUGGGCAACGGUAGGUCAGUAUGCCCCGAAUAUCCCGGGCUACACGCGAGCUACAAUGGUUGGUACAAUGGGUAUCUACCCCGAAAGGGGACGGGAAUCUCCUAAAACCAAUCUUAGUUCGGAUUGAGGGCUGCAACUCGCCCUCAUGAAGCUGGAAUCCGUAGUAAUCGCGUUUCAACAGAACGCGGUGAAUACGUCCCUGCUCCUU